Long non-coding RNA from Carassius auratus (goldfish), 2707 nucleotides. The record is from Ensembl. Lineage: Eukaryota; Metazoa; Chordata; Actinopteri; Cypriniformes; Cyprinidae.
UUAGUGAGUUUGUAAGCCGCCCAGCUUCAUCACUGGAACUGUGUGUCAUUAUCAGUUUAUGUCUUAUUGUCUCUUUGUUCUCACUCACUUCUGUGUUCAUCUACACAAACUACAUUUCCAGUUCUCAAAUUUAGAAUUACUCAUUUUAUUUGUAUGAAAGAAAAUGGAAAAUUGAACACCGGUGAACAGAUUUCAAUGAUACUGUAAAACAUUGAGAUAUUUCAGUGUCAAGAUUACAAAUCUGCUGAUUUGACUAGUGAUUUAUUAUUCAUUUUAACAUUAAUGUGCUUUAAGUUUCCAAAAUCUUUCUGUGCUCAGUUUAUAUUUUAAAACCUGUUUUUUCAUUGUAUAUCAAGGUUUUUUUUUAACACAAGUAAACUCUUAUUGUGAGGUUUCAGCGAGAGGUUACUUUGAAUGUCAAGAAAUAAAAUCAAGAAUCAAAUUUGUACUUCCAUAAAUGAAACACAUUACUGGAAUGCGAGUAUUUCUGAACUUGUUGUGACUUGUCCUUUACAGACAGUGCUGCUCAAGUCACCCGGAUUUAAACCGAGUCACAGAUGAUUCAUACUUCAGAUCAAUGACUGAAUUUAAAGAUGAAUUCGAUUUACUUGUGAUUUGGAUUUCAGUUUAUAUCCUUCUUAAUUUUUAUUUUUAUUUUUAAGACAUCUACAUUAGAAAUCAACUGGAAACUAACGGGGUAAAAGAGGGGAAAGGAUUCGUACACAGAAAUCCAGAUUUUAACCUGCAUCAUUUGGAUAAGCACCAAGGCUCAAUGUGUUAGAAACAUGAUUGCUGACACCGUCUGCUUGCACUUAUUCAGGCAAAGCAGGGUUAAAGCACAAUACCACCAGUUGCCCUACUGGGUCACACAUAAAAAAAGGUUUUUACUCUGUGGACAUGGGACCAUGUGAUCAGAACAGAGAGCACAGGAGAAGAGAACAGUAGGGUCACUGGCUCUACCUGGAGGCGUCCUCUGUCCCUGCAAUCAAAAACUAGUAUGGCAUCCAAACUCUCUCAGAGACCAAACUCGGAUGUCAACAGACAUCACAAGGACAAGAAUCUUAUAGCAAAUGCAUGGCAUAGUAUGACCACAGCGUUCCAUCAGAUAUCAGAGAAUGAAGCGAGAGAUUCCAGCCAUCCUCAGUCAUUUCUCGGCCAACAGAGAUUGUCUGCUGCUCUCAGGAGGGUCCAGCUCAGCAAAGACAAAUAAUAAAUAAUAAUAAUAUAAACCUUAUUGCAUAUUAGGAAUCCUAUAGUGCACAGGGCAUUGGUGAGACACAAAGUCAUUGGCUCCACCUGCUGGACACUGAAUGCGUCUACAUGCACAAUUAUGCUGAUAGACUGUAAUUAUUAUAUAUACAUACACUGAGUAAAUAUGCAAAAAAGAAAAUGUCAGAAAAUAACUUCAUAACAUAACCAAGCCAAGUUAUUCCAGAUAGUGUAUUGUCCUCUGGUAUUAUCAGAUCAUAUUUCAGUCUUCUGCAAACACACCUGUGAGAUUUCAUGUCUUAGGCUGUAGCUUUUUUUUAUUCUAUGGUAAAAAUGUAAUUGUUUUAACAAAAAAUUUAAAACAUUUUUUUAAUUGUUUUAGUGCAAAACAACCAAUGAUUUUUAGAGUGUUUUUUUGUUGUCUUUAUUUAGCAAUAGCCAAUUAUUACAAGAUUUAAAAUUAAUUUAAAUGUGGAUCUUUGAUGAAAGAUUAAAUUGUAUUAUUAUGUGGCUCAGUCCAAAAUCAAAGUUGCAAAUAAAGGGCAGUUCAAGUUCAAAUGUGGAGAAAGAUUUACAUCUUGUGGUAAAAUCUUUUCUUAAAUCAAGAAGUCCCUUUGUUGCGUGUUCCCCUUGGGAAAGUUUUUUCCAAAGGGAUUAUUAAAGCUCGUAAAUUUGAUUCAGACUACUUGUCAUGCACAGUGUACCUGAAGAUAGGAAACACUUAACACUUGAGCUCAACAUCUGACUGUUUGAACUUCAGGUGAGCAAGAUCUACCCGUGAGAAAGAACCAUUUAUUAAGCCAUAAACACGUAAGUAAGUGAUUAUUGUGCAUAAUGGUUUUUCAUUGUGAAAUGAAGAACAAUUUCUUAACCAUAUUAGCUACUAUUAAUGUGUUUUUUUUUUGUUGUUUUUUUUUGUUUGUUUUUUUUUUUUUACUAUAAAUUAAAACCCCAUGCGUUGUUCUUGAAUAGGCUAACAAAAAAAUUAUAGGCCUACCUCUACAUAACCUACACAAUCGAUGCUGCUUUAAGUUGUAAAAUAAAAAUGUACCGGCAUUACGUCAAAGAAUAAAUGUGAAACAACAGUUGCUAUAUGCAAUCGCCCCACACAUGCCCAGCACUGCAUAUCUCCUGAGAGUGGUCCAGUUGGCAUAUUGAACCUUUUUAAGCACACAACAGCGAAGCUUUUCCGUUCCCACGGAGUGAUAUGAAGAGGAGAGAUGAAAGGAGCACUUGUCACUUCCACACGAAAACUCACCUGUCACUCACAGCCAUUACUCAGACAGGUACGAGCUAUAUUCACCCCUACUAUAAAACAAUGAUGACCAGUCAUGAAAGAACCUGCUGAGAGUAUAUAAUCGUCGGCUCUGGCUCCAUGUCCACAACGACAGCAGGGUGACCCCACGGAACCCUGAACCGCGAGAUUUUUCAAAAAGCACUUUCUUCUGCGACUUUUUCGUGCGUGACAGUGGGAGAAAAGAAAUCAGUUUUCGAGUAU